AGUGAACGCUGGCGGUAGGCCUAACACAUGCAAGUCGAACGGCAGCACAGUAAGAGCUUGCUCUUACGGGUGGCGAGUGGCGGACGGGUGAGGAAUACAUCGGAAUCUACUUUUUCGUGGGGGAUAACGUAGGGAAACUUACGCUAAUACCGCAUACGACCUACGGGUGAAAGCAGGGGAUCUUCGGACCUUGCGCGAUUGAAUGAGCCGAUGUCGGAUUAGCUAGUUGGCGGGGUAAAGGCCCAGCAAGGCGACGAUGCGUAGCUGGGCUGAGAGGAUGGGCAGCCACGAUGGGACUGAGACACAGACCAGACCUCUGCGAGGGGCAGCAGUGGUAAGUAUUGCAGAAGGGGCGCAAGUCUGAUCCAGCCAUACCGCGUGAUGGAGGAAGGCCGUCGGGUGGUAAAGCCCUUUUGGGGGGAAAGAAGAGCAGCAGUUUAAUACCCCGCUGUUCUGACGGUACCCAAAGAAUAAGCACCGUCUAACUGCG
This 490-nucleotide ribosomal RNA is filed under the name uncultured bacterium. Its description in RNAcentral is "partial 16S ribosomal RNA". It matches the Rfam family "Bacterial small subunit ribosomal RNA", at positions 29 to 505 of the family's 1533-position model. The record is from RNAcentral.